GUCGAGAAUCUUUCACAAUGGGGGCAACCCUGAUGGAGCGACGCCGCGUGGAGGAUAAGGUCUUCGGAUUGUAAACUCCUGUCAUGCGUGAACAAGGUUGCUUGGUUAAUACCUGGGCAAAUUGAUGGUAACGCAAGAGGAAGAGACGGCUAACUCUGUGCCAGCAGCCGCGGUAAUACAGAGGUCUCAAGCGUUGUUCGGAAUCACUGGGCGUAAAGGGUGCGUAGGUGGCGUGGUAAGUCAGAUGUGAAAGCCCGGGGCUAAACCUCGGAACUGCAUCCGAUACUGCCAUGCUAGAGUAAUGGAGAGGUGACUAGAAUUCUCGGUGUAGCAGUGAAAUGCGUGGAUAUCGAGAGGAAUACCAAAGGCGUAGGCAGGUCACUGGACAGUUACUGACACUGAGGCACGAAGGCCAGGGGAGCGAACGGGAUUAGAAACCCCUGUAGUCC
This 449-nucleotide ribosomal RNA is filed under the name uncultured bacterium. RNAcentral's name for it is "bacterial SSU rRNA". It matches the Rfam family "Bacterial small subunit ribosomal RNA", at positions 354 to 796 of the family's 1533-position model. The record is from RNAcentral.